GAUGAACGCUGGCGGCGUGCCUAAUACAUGCAAGUCGAGCGAACGGACGAGAAGCUUGCUUCUCUGAUGUUAGCGGCGGACGGGUGAGUAACACGUGGAUAACCUACCUAUAAGACUGGGAUAACUUCGGGAAACCGGAGCUAAUACCGGAUAAUAUUUUGAACCGCAUGGUUCAAAAGUGAAAGACGGUCUUGCUGUCACUUAUAGAUGGAUCCGCGCUGCAUUAGCUAGUUGGUAAGGUAACGGCUUACCAAGGCAACGAUGCAUAGCCGACCUGAGAGGGUGAUCGGCCACACUGGAACUGAGACCCGGUCCAGACUCCUACGGGAGGCAGCAGUAGGGAAUCUUCCGCAAUGGGCGAAAGCCUGACGGAGCAACGCCGCGUGAGUGAUAAAGGUCUUCGGAUCGUAAAACUCUGUUAUUAGGGAAGAACAUAUGUGUAAGUAACUGUGCACAUCUUGACGGUACCUAAUCAGAAAGCCACGGCUAACUACGU
RNAcentral lists this ribosomal RNA (496 nucleotides) under uncultured bacterium. RNAcentral describes it as "partial 16S ribosomal RNA". It matches the Rfam family "Bacterial small subunit ribosomal RNA", at positions 28 to 506 of the family's 1533-position model. The record is from RNAcentral.